UGGCUGGUCUGAUGAGGGGCUGGGCAGAAUCCCAUUCCUGGGUACAGAGAAGCCUUACUGGCUAUUCAAAGCCAGUGAGAGUCAAGAACCGGACAAGAGGAUUAGAACAAAGGAGCUGCUCUCAGUGGAGAAAGUCCGAGAUAAAUCUGCAAUUCACACCAUGGACUGUUAGCAUUUAAGAGACGCUGAUGCUUUCUACAGCUGCCCUGCUGAUUUUGAAACGGCUGCAGAGGAAAAGCAGAGCCGGGGCUGCCUGCCUUUGGACUGAGUUUUGUUUCUGUUGCUGCCCAUUCUCAUGCAGUGCCGUGGCAGGGCGGUUCCAUGCACGGGGCAGGAAGGCAUGCAGGCACCGUGUCCCAGCUGCAGAUGGACAGUCUCUUGAUGAUGGGCUGUGACAGUGCUUUCAUCUUCAAAGCAUCCAGCAUCUUUCUCUGUGGGCCGCACGCCAUCGCCCAUCCUCGAAUCCACUCAUUAGCUCGUUCCCUGGUAAAGCUUCUCCUUGGUACCCUAGCCUGCGGCGCAACACCUCCCUGGAUCCCACACUACUGAGAGGGACAAGGUGAGUAGAGUCGGAUCCCAGUGACCACACCCUUUGGAUCACGGUCUCUUGAGGACCUUCUCCAGAGUUACCACGAGUUCCAGCACAACGUGCAUAAGUCAGGGAGCUGAGAAUCUGACUCACAGAACCAUCCAAGCAGGGAAAUUGGACUCACAGAACUGAAGCCUUCUGUAGACAUAAUAUAUCUAGAUCGAAACAACAUUUUUGGAAAAGUUCCUCCUGGUAUCCUUUGGACACGUAAGCUGGAGGAUCACGCUGGAUUGAGAGAAGAAUUACCCAUGAUUUUGGAAGAAGGCAAGUUUUGUGCCAAAUUUAGCAGCCUACGUGACUCUUCUCAUGCCAUGUUGAGGGCAGCUGCACAGGCUGCAAGGAUUAUCUUGGAGCUGAAUUUGCAUAUCUAGCUGAGGGGACCCACUGCGAUGGCUGCAACUCAUUUGCAUAAUGUUUGUACUUGUUACAGUUUGAGUUCCAACCAAAUCCCUUCAAUUAACUUAGUUUGUACUGUGUGUUACACCCAGCGGGGCUGUCCUUGGGGCCUGGGAUGAGGUAGCAAGGAUGACACUGAUGGUCAUUAAUGUGCUAAGUUAACUCUGCCCGUGUGCAUCAUCUGGAGUUCUCAUAACAACCCUGCAUGCCACGUUAUGGGCUACAUUGUGACCCCUCCAAAAGAUAUGCUGGGUCCUAACCCCCAGCAUCUGCAAACGUGACCUUGUUUGGAAAUAAGGUCUUUACAAAGGGGAUCAAGUUCAAAUGAGGUCCUCAGAGUGGGCCCUAAUCCGGUCUAUCUGAUAUGACUCAUGUCCUUACAAAAAGGGGACAUUUGGACACAGAGACAGACACACAGACACACGUGAAGAGCCAUAGGGAGUAGGCCACGUGAAGACUGGAGGGAGGCAGCCACGAGCCAAGGCACGUCGGGGCCGCCAGAAGCUGGAAGAGGACAGGAAGGAUCCUUCUCUUACAGCUUUGGGAGGGAGCACAGUCCUGCUGACACCUUGCAUUUGGACUUCAGCCUUCAGAACUGUGAGAUAAUACAUUUCUGUUGUCCUCUGCCACCCAAUAUGUGGCACUUUCUUACGGCAGCCCCGGGAAAUUCAUAUACAAGGUAAUAUUAUUAUUUCCGCUUUAUAGAUGACAAAACUGAGGAUAGGGAAUUUCUGCAAACUCUUUUAGCUGGCGUUGUGGAAUGAAUUCAAGAAUGAAGUCAUCCUUGGAGUUUUCUGGUGCCUCCCAUCCGAUGUACAGGGAUGCUGCCUACUGAUGACAGCCCUUAUAGACACCAGCAGCCCUGCAUUUGGAGGGUGGGAGUGAUACACAUAACACUCCACAGCCCUUGCUUUGCUGCACACAAACUGCUGUCUCCAUGUUUCACCAUCUAUUUUGUGCACAAACUUGGAUGCUAUGAACAGGCAGAAUGGGCACGAUUGUAUACGAUGAAAGCCUUUCCAGGAGAUUUUAGCCCUUAAUUUCAGCCGAUAUGCAAGAAAUGGAUGUACUUAGCAUCCACCUCAGAGGACUCCGCAAGAGCCAGCAGGUGUGUCACUUAGAGACGAGAGGAAGAGCCCCUUAGCCGAGCAGAGUGAGUAAUUCAGCCUGAUGGCCUGCAGGAGUUCGAAGGUGGCAUCUCAACAACUGGCUUUGAGGAAAAGAUUCCAAGAGCAGGUUGACUUGUCAGUAUCAUUCCGGAUCAAAGCCCAGAAAAGUCUGGGUUCAAGUAUCCAUGAAAGCUCUGAUUCCAGGCAGGAGGCAGGACUCAAGGAAGAGAUCAGUGUCGUCUGAAACAGCGAAGCGUGCUCCAGCACUGUAUUGUAUUUCCGGCAGCUUCUUGAUCGCAGCAAGCAUCUGCAUAAUGUAGGCACUCUUAAUCCAUAUUUCGGUAAUUGUAACCAUAGAUCACAGAAAUUCAUUCACGUGGCACACGAGAUAAGAGAUGAAGAAACUGCUUUAUGCAUGCAAAUCAAAACCGCUUGUAUUCCUGAAUAUAAUGAUGGCAAAAAGAUGUGAGUUUCCAGAUGUGCAAGAGAGAGAUUUUCAAGACGUAUAGUCGUUCCACAACACACUCUGAUGAAUUUUUCAGAGAUGAAAUAUGCCUUUGAUUAAGGAAGGUUUUUCUGCCUUUCUGAUAAGUCCCGUGUGCGCUGGGGUACUCAUUUACUCAUGAUGUCGUAUGCAAAAUGAAAGGAUAAAACCUUCACUUUGAUUUAUGAUCAUGGUUAUUAAUUUCUGAUGCAGCUUUUUGGUUCGGAUUAUUCAGGGGUGGAGGGAUUUGGCAGCGUAGAUGAGAAGCCCGGGAGAUUUACCGGCGUAAACAUCACAGCAGAGGUCCAGUCGUAAAUAACAAGACUUCUAAAAAGAAGUACUAAACCCCCCCAUUAUUAGUAGGUACAGGAAGAAACUCAAAAAUGUAAAAAAAGAAGCUGGUACAGACUAGGAUUUCUGCACAGGUAACUUCCGAAGGGAGCCUCACGUGCAGGGACUAGAGACACGUUUUCUUGUUUCCCACAAAAACUGUGACCCCAUCCCGUUUCACCAGCAUGGGGAUGUUUUCUGGAUCCUGGUGCCAUCAGUAAGCUAAGACCAUACCUGUGGUCCAUUCUGCUAACAACCAGGGUUCAUAGGCUAUGACUUUGAUAGGUUAUUUUCGACUCCAUUACGUAAAAAUGCGCAAUCAUGGGUUGGCCGCAUCAAAAUUCCAACUUGGAGCGCAUGCUGAAUUCAUAACAUUUUUAGUCUGGAUGCAUUAGGUGACAAUUUUUUCAUGGCUUGGGCAAACAGCCUCUAGGUGGGGUGAGGGUGUCAAGCUGGCCUGGCAGAAGGGGGCUAGGGAACAUGGGAGCUGAGGGGGUGCUGGGUACCCAGUGCAGCACAGAGCAGGACCAGCAUCCACUCCCAAGGUCUGCUCUUCUCAGUACAAUUCUGGCUCGUGUCCAUAUGGCCAUGGGAUGCACCUGGCCCGGGGUGUCUGACAGAACUUGGGAUGGAGUCACGAUUCCUAAGAAGUUCCACCAGAGCCGCCAGUACGCUCAGUCUCUAGGGGGUGGGCGUGGCUGGUUGUAUACAGGGAUGUGUUAUCAGACAGGAUCCAGAACCUUGGGUGAGGACCAGGUGGACUUGAGGGAGAAGCUAAGCAGAGGGGGACCAAAAACCAGCUAGAAGGUGGUGCACACGGGGCAGGGAAGGGGGAGUGAGAGAAAGAAGGCCCUUAGUUUGCGAUGCUCAGCCUGCCUUGUUCAGGAUUUGCGAUUGAAGGGACUCAGAGGAUGUGAAGAGAGACCUGUGUCCCCUCUCCCACGGGAGUUUAUAGAAAAGUCAGCAGCACUGUUACCAGAGAAAUGGCAGGAGGUGGGGCGUGCAAGUCGCAAGCUGUUUAAUCCAGGCCAGGAGCCCUGAUGGAACCUCUUUGUUCGCUCUGCUCCUCUCUCCUCUGGGGGACCCCCUUGCUCCCCUCCUUGCACUCCACAUGGAGGGGCUGCAGAACUUUUGCCCCCUCUGCCCAGCCAAACAGAAAAGCACCCCUGGCUGGGGUUGUUUGAUGUUUUCCAGAAAACCAGCUUAUGGGAUUGUCUCUUAUCAGACGUGAACCAGAAUGGGGCUGAUGGGGAAGAAGGACACGUGGCUGUAAAAGCCAGAGGAGCUCCUGAAAACUCUGCCCAGGAUGCAUCUUGGGAGAGAGGUCUGAGAACACGGACCUGUUUUGAAUGGGCAAGAGAAUUUGCAGGAGAACUUCCAGGAGAAAGCAGGACGGCAGAGGGCUCGCACAGCUGCCGGGCUCCUCAUGUUUACCUGUUGAUUCUCCUCUAAGGUCUCAGCAGUAAGGACAGAGCAUUUCUCCGGGUUUCUCUCUGCCACUUGGAGGUUGCUAUCUGGCGCCUGUUGGCUGACCCUAUGGUUGGCCCAUCCACCUAACAGGUGCAACCCUGGGUUGUUUUCACCUUGCAAAGUCAGCCAGCUCAGGCCCAUAUAAGGAUCUCUAUAAAGCAGAGGAAUAGACCUGUUUCCUCUGAAAUGCUAGUAUGGAUUUGAUCUUCAAGUGAGAAAAAACAAUGUAGGAGAAAGGAAAUAAACUUGAACCAUUUCAAGCAAUUAAUCAUAAAAUUACAGUUUAUCUCCCCUCCCCACCUAAAUAAAUUAAAUUUAAUGAAACAACCGGUUCAAGUUACAACUCAAAUUUAAGCAAACCAGAUUUUUAAUGAAGUUUUCAAAAGAGAAGAUGAGUCAUACCAGUCAUAAUUCAGUCAAAAUUGUCAAACUGGAGCAAAAUUGCAAAAAAGCUAAAGCUGUUGCCUUUUAGCGGUUUUAUAUGGAGACAAGAGAAAACAAAUGUGUUUAGGGGACUUGUUUUGUUUUUUUAAGUCUCAGGCAUAUACAGUUUGGAAUUCUUUGCGGUGAUUAAGAUUUGUGGAAGAGUGAAUUUUAGAAAUGUGAGUCCUUCCAAACGUUUUGUUGGAAAUAUGGGCAAAGGGGUCGUUGUUGAUAAUCGUGCGAUGAAAGAAAAUUACAAAUUCCUCAAGAGCGGGCUGCUCUUUUCUGAAGCUCUCUAAUGCCAUUGUAAAACCUCGAGGAAAGUCUUCUGGAUUAUUCCUCAACCACAAAUAUACACAAGGCAACCCGGAGAGGCCGCAAGAGCAGAGGGAAGUUUCAGGAAAGGUUAACAGUUCCAGGGACUUGUCCCCAGAUUAGCAAAGCUUUGAGCAUGGCCAACCCCGCUCUGUCUGGCCUCACGUCCUCCUUGGCAUGCUGCUUUCCGUCUACACCCACAAAACUACUUGCCUGUGGGCUAGAUGCUAGACUCAAGAAAGAAUUCCAUUUUCUUAAUUCCAGCACCUCUGCUUGAUAACUUCUUUCGCAUCUCCCUGUUUAUGGAUACUUGAGUAGACACAAGGAAAUGAAGAGUAAGUCUCUGGUGUGUCUCUUUUUCUAUUUUCCUUGGGCUUCAUUCUGCCCCAGGGGGUGAAGACGCCCUGGAAUCAUGCAGCACUGAGGGUAUCCCUCUGAUGGAGCUCUCCAUCCCAUUUGUAUCAGGACCAGCUCCCGUCAUCUCUCUGGAGCCCACCGCGGUUUCACUCUCCACCUCCUUUGUCUGCGUCAGUGCAAAGCCCUGGGGGUCCUUGCCGUGAAACCGCUUCCCACGGGGCUGGAGUCCUCAGGAAGCUUCCUUUGAUGGGGAAGAUGAUUGCUUCUCCCAAAUGCCCACCCCUUCCAAGACUUGAGGUUACGUCGCAGAUGAAAGGCUGGCCUUGUUAGCGCUUGUCAGAGCCACGCGUGAGGAGCACCCCCAGGAAGAUUCAACUUGGCAUACAGGUGCUUUGCUCCUAAGGAUGGUUUAAAUACACAAAGUUUGGGAAAUUGUGCCAAAACCACAAAAUGAAUCAGCUCUUUCUGAUGAAAUCCUUACGUUUUCUUUCCCAAGAAUAUGCGAGGAGGUGAUGGAAACGUAAUGACGUUGGAGGUUGUUGAGACCACUGAUUUGACAAUGGAGGCACAUCAAACAGUUUAUCAAGGACAUUUUGAGGUGCCUCCUCUGAGAACAGCUAUUUGGCUCUUUUCUGUCCCUAUGAUAUAAAUAAGGUCCUCAAGUUACAACAGAUUCUGUUGCAUCUCAGGAAUGCCAUGGAAUAUAAUUAGACUGGGCUGUCAUGCAGAGAUGGGCACAGAGCAGGCAAACCUGGAAUGUGAGUCAGAGGUGCAGGGAAGAAGGUCAGGACACAUGGACAUGGGCAGGGCCGGGGCUCCGUGCCUGCACAGCACUGUGGCAAAGGCCCGUCCCAGGGGCUAAGGUGUAUGGGCAAAUCCCAGGACCAAAGGGGUCAAGACAUGGGAGCCCCUCCGUGAGCUCAGUUCUUCCAGAUUCCCACACGCAUCAUCUUGGCUCCAACAGGUCCCGGGGCCAGCGGUGGACGCAGCCGAGGGGAAGAGCAUGAUGCUCCAGGCGAGACGCAGAGCCCAGCAGCCACCCAGAAACUGUGAGCAGUCUCUGGAUCUAAACCCACUCCUCACUUCUGUAUUUUUGUAGAAAAAGUCACACUGAGAGAUUGUCAGACACUUUGCUCCAAAAAUAUAACUUUCUCCAUUCCUGUUUUCCAGUCCCCUGAUUCUUUUAUUCUAUUAUUAUAUUUUAAAGCAGUUGUUUCGGUACAACUUCUGCUUUGCAGGCUAAAGCUGGCAUCGAGCCACCCACACGCCCCAUCUGUGCGCACAAAGCUCCGCUCCAUCAUCUGAUCUGGAUGCUCCUGUUAUGAUGCGACAGGACCAAGACGGGAG
Molecule: non-coding RNA, 6820 nt
Organism: Equus caballus (horse)
Lineage: Eukaryota; Metazoa; Chordata; Mammalia; Perissodactyla; Equidae
Source: RefSeq, a predicted model, not a curated record